RNAcentral lists this ribosomal RNA (433 nucleotides) under uncultured bacterium. Its description in RNAcentral is "partial 16S ribosomal RNA". It matches the Rfam family "Bacterial small subunit ribosomal RNA", at positions 29 to 507 of the family's 1533-position model. The record is from RNAcentral.
AACGAACGCUGGCGGCAGGCCUAACACAUGCAAGUCGAGCGAGGACUUCGGUUCUAGCGGCGGACGGGUGAGUAACGCGUGGGAAUGUGCCCUUCUCUACGGAAUAGCCCUGGGAAACUGGGAGUAAUACCGUAUACGCACUAUGGGGGAAAGAUUUAUCGGAGAAGGAUCAGCCCGCGUUGGAUUAGGUAGUUGGUGGGGUAAUGGCCUACCAAGCCGACGAUCCAUAGCUGGUUUGAGAGGAUGAUCAGCCACACUGGGACUGAGACACGGCCCAGACUCCUACGGGAGGCAGCAGUGGGGAAUCUUAGACAAUGGGGGCAACCCUGAUAUAGCCAUGCCGCGUGAGUGAUGAAGGCCUUAGGGUUGUAAAGCUCUUUCAGCUGGGAAGAUAAUGACGGUACCAGCAGAAGAAGCCCCGGCUAACUCCGUG